RNAcentral lists this ribosomal RNA (490 nucleotides) under uncultured bacterium. RNAcentral describes it as "partial 16S ribosomal RNA". It matches the Rfam family "Bacterial small subunit ribosomal RNA", at positions 28 to 507 of the family's 1533-position model. The record is from RNAcentral.
GAUGAACGCUAGCUACAGGCUUAACACAUGCAAGUCGCGGGGCAGCAUGGGGGUUGCUUGCAAUCCCCGAUGGCGACCGGCGCACGGGUGAGUAACGCGUAUUCAACCUGCCCUUCACCACGGGAUAACCCGGCGAAAGUCGGACUAAUACCGUAUGUUGUCCAUUGACGGCAUCCGAUUUGGACGAAGGGCUUGGCGGUGAGGGAUGGGGAUGCGUCCGAUUAGCCAGACGGCGGGGUAACGGCCCACCGUGGCUACGAUCGGUAGGGGUUCUGAGAGGAAGGUCCCCCACACUGGAACUGAGACACGGUCCAGACUCCUACGGGAGGCAGCAGUGAGGAAUAUUGGUCAAUGGGCGUAAGCCUGAACCAGCCAAGUAGCGUGCAGGAUGACGGCCCUAUGGGUUGUAAACUGCUUUUAUGCGGGGAUAAAGUGGCCCACGUGUGGGCUUUUGCAGGUACCGCAUGAAUAAGGACCGGCUAAUUCCGUG